GGAAAGAUGGCAAUGGUGGAAAAUAGAAAGGAAUAGGGGGAACAGCAGUUGGGAUUGUGGGGACUGAGGGAAUGCUUGGCAGAGGGGGUAGUCCUGUUGGCAAUGUGGUAGGAAGUGGAGGAAGCGCCCCAGGCCAUGGGAAUGAUUGUCGGGAUGGCGUUGGGAGAUUAGAGAAAGAUGGUAAACUUCGCGGUUGAGGCUGCUGCAGAAGGUGACGAGCUGCUACCCCAACAUCAAUGCUUGCAAAUGACAAAGCAAUCAAGAAUGCUAAAGCAAGGCAAUUGAAAGAGGCCAUUUUUGUUCAGAGAUUUCGAAACAAAUGAAGCAGAUGAAACAAAGUUCUUUAUCUGAAUAGUUGUGGGUGAAGAAAACAAAGCACGGUAUUGAGGUUUAUAUAGGCAUUGGAGCAAUGAAUAGAAAUCCCCUGCCCCUAAACAAUGCCCCAUGCAUGCCCCCAAACCAAAAUAGCGCCACAUGUUUUUUAUUUUUUUCCAUUUUAGUUGUAGUUCAUUUUUUAAAUAAAAAUUUAUAAUGAUUUGGAUGAAUUUUUAACUUAUUAUCAACGUUUUUGUUUUUGUUUUAUUUUCUAUUAAUUUUACCUAUUCUUUAAUUAACAAAUUUAUAAUGACUUGGAAUUAAUUUAACAGUGUUUUUUUUUAUAAUCGUUCUUAUAAUAAAAUUUAAAAAGGUGGGAACGAGUCCCACAAUGACAACAUGAUCCAUGCCUUUAGUCAAAGGUUCAGAUAACAUCUGCUCAGUGUUAAUGUGCUCAAUGACGACUUUCUUUUCUUUAACAUAUUCCCUUAUGGCUAGAUACUUAAAAUCGAUAUGUUUACUUCGACUUUCACUUUUGUCGCUCUUAGCCAUAAAUACAGCAAUUGAAUUGUCACAAUAUAUGAAAUAAUCGAAACCUAUAAUGACUCAGCUCAAAAAACUCGAGCCUCAAACCCAAAUUAAAUUAAAUCAAAAUCAUAAUUUAUUAUAUACAAUUGCAUAAAAUUAACAUAAUUUAAGUGUCAUAGUGCACAUUAAAUUAAAGUUUAUGUUUGACAUUAUAGAUUGAAGCAAUAUUCAUGUGUAAAAUUUUGAGAUUUAUUUCCUUAAUGAAAGUAAUAUUUCAAAUAGAAUACUUGAACAAUCCUCCAUGUUGGCAAACUUUAUGUACAUUAGAAACGAACUAAAUAAUUAGAAUAAAUCUAAAGUAUGGCUUACAUUUAAUUUAUUCAUAAUGUGACUUAAACUUUGGCCUUCAAGAUUUCACGGUCUCAAAUUAUGUCUUAAAAUUUUAAGAUCAUUUUAGGUUUGUUAAAAACAUCAAUAGUUUAGAAAGUUAGAAUUGUUGCUUGAGGCGUGGAUUUCCCUAUUCUUUAGGAUAUUCGUGGAUUUACUAUCCCUCAAGAUUUAAUUUGUAUCAUGUGCAAUGAAAAAAUUGAAAAAGAAAAUUCCCAUUUGAAUGGAAUUGAGCUAUUAGGCUCAGGCCUCGUGUGCGCAUAUAUAUUCUCUUAUUUUGAGUCUUACAAGUUUAUAGUAAACCAAAUCUAUAUAAACAUCAUUUUAUAAGUGUAUCUAAGAUAUGUUUAAUAUGUGUAAUUCUUUAAAAUACAUGAAAACUUCAAAUGUGGUUUAGGUCAUUUUCAGAUUUGUCUUAUUUAGGUUCAAAUCAUUCGAAUUUGAGGCUAAGUUUUUCAUGUGUAAUCAUUAUUGAUCCGAAUCAUUUUAGAUUUUGAUCAUUUUAAGUUCUAAUUAUUUUGUGAUCAAAUCAUUUCAAGUUUAGAUAAAUUUGGGUCAAUUUUGAAUUUGACUUAAUUACGUAAUUAACCUUUUUUAUAAUAAAUUGAGCUGAAUGAACUUUAGAUUGGAAUUUAUUUAGUGUACCUUUGUGUUUAAGUUGAAAUUUAAACAUCUGUAUUAGAAAUACACAUGUUAAUACAAUUUUAUGUUAAAGACAAUAAUACGACAAAAUUAAUUUGGGAGAUAAACAUGUUAAUUUUUUAAUCCCAACCAAAAUUGUACAUAAUUGUUUUAUAUCAUAUUAAAUACAUGUAACGUCUUAUAAAAAUUGUCAAUAAAUUAUGCCUAGCGACAACGUUAUUCAAAUCUAAUUUCAUUGUUAAUACCUAUUUCUAUUUUUCUUCUAAUAUCUUCAACUUUAAAUAUAAAGGAAUUGAAAUUUUAAGAAUUGAGAUUUCUUUUCUUUAUAUUAGUGGACAUUUGAUUUUUUGUUUGAUUUUUUUUACUAGAAUUGAUGCAUAUCUUUUCAGAUUUAUCAAUAUUUUUUAAAAUUAUUUAAGAUAUGUAUAUAAAUAUAUUACAAAUAUAAAAUGAAUGAAACUAAAUACAUUUCAAAUAUAAAAUAUUCAUUAAUAAACUUAACAAAUAAAAAUUUAUCAUUCAAAGAAAUCCAAAAUUAUUAAUAAUAAUCCAUCAUUUAAUAUGAAAUUCUAAAGAUUUAGCUCAUUUACUUAAUAAAAGAAGGUGAAAGGUGGACGAAUAUUUUUUAUUUGAUAAUCAGGUAAAUGGUUUUUUCUUAAUUAUAUUUUGAAUGUGAAAGUAUAUUCCAUUUUUUUUUAAAAUUUACAUUCCGAUGUAGCGUUUUUAAUUAGUCACGUUUCAAUUAAGUUUUUAGCAUAAUAGUAAAUUAUUAAAAGUUUAAUAUUUUUAAUAUUAUUCAUGCAUAGGACGGUGCACUAUGUUCUGGCAGGUGUGACAGGAAUUGAUCGGAAUGAGUUGGUGCAAUUGGUACAGACCAAAAUUUUUACCAGUGUAGAAAAAGGGUUUUGGGUGUUUCGCAAUGUUAUUGAAACCAAACCAAACAGACCAAAAACCGAUGAACCCGAGAACUAGAGUAAACUGCAGUUAAACUGCAAAUCAUCAGCUGAUUAAGCCGCAUUUCGCAUUUUCUAGACUGGAAAACAAAAAUUUCACUUCAGAUCCCUUGAGCUUUUGUUACACUUCUUCUCUUAACUCAAAAUAAAACAAACCAUACAAAGAAUAAGCACUGUUUCUUUUAUUACUUUUUUAUUACUCAGUGAAAAACCUGGACUUAUAACAUUCAAUCAAAGGAAAAAAAAGACAAAUUAGGAAAGAUGAAAGAUGGGGAGAGGGUUUUAAAAUUCAAAGCCGUCAAAAUAGAUGAGUUUGGGGUUAUUAAUAUUAUUUUAUAUUGUUCAAUAGAAAAUUAAUUGUAUCGGUGGUUGAAUCUGUGAGAUCAAAAAUUAAUUAAUUGAUUAAUUUAAUUAUCAAUCUAAUUUUAAAAAUAUUAAUAUUUCGGUAUAAAAUUAAUACAGUGCACACAAAUUAAUAUAACCGAAAUCUGUACGAAACCGAGCACCUUAAUUUAAUACAUAAUUUGACAUUCAUAUAAAAUAUUAUCUUGGAAAUAUAUUGAAAGAGGAAAGUAAUCGUAUGUAAAUGGAUAACUUGGAAGAGAUAAUGAAGCAGGAAUCAUUAUAUUAACAGUGGCAUCUUCUCGAUGUACGGCGGCUCACUAUUUUGACUGCAUUUAUCGUUUGAUUCUUUUCUUAAUUAGCCAAACUCAUGUUAACAAUGGUAUAACAGUAAUUAAUUACUUCAUGGAUAGAACAUCAAUAUAUAAAUACCCCAUAUAUAAUAAGCAACAACGUUUCAAAAUACACCAAAUAAUGGGAAUUGGAGAACGCCCAUUUAUACAAACAAAUAUAAGUGGGCAAAAUCAAUACUCAUAAUAAAGACACAAAGACGACUAAAAACCUUAUUAAACUAGAUCCAGUAUGCAGCAUAACAGAAAAGGGGGUAUUUCAAGGAGUAGAGCGAGAAGGUGGUGGAGAAAAGAAAGGAAUAGAAGGAACUGCAGUUGGGAUUGAGGGAAUGCUUGGCAGAGGCGACAGUCCUCUUGGCAAUGUGGUAGGAAGUGGAGGAAGCGCCCCAGGGUUUGGGAGAUAAGGGAAAGAUGGCAAUGGUGGAAAAGAGAAAGGAAUAGGGGGAAUUGCAGUUGGGAUUGUGGGGACUGAGGGAAUGCUUGGCAGAGGGGGCAGUCCUGUUGGGAAUGUGGUAGGAAGUGGAGGAAGCGCCCCAGGCCAUGGGAAUGAUUGUCGGGAUGGCGUUGGGAGAUUAGGGAAAGAUGGUAAACUUUGCGGUUGAGGCUGCUGCAGAAGGUGACGAGCUGCUACCCCAACAUCAAUGCUUGCAAAUGACAAAGCAAUCAAGAAUGCUAAAGCAAGGAAAUUGAAAGAGGCCAUUUUUGUUCAGAGAUUUCGAAACAAAUGAAGCAGAUGAAACAAAGUUCUUUAUCUGAAUAGUUGUGGGUGAAGAAAACAAAGCAUGGUAUUGAGGUUUAUAUAGGCAUUGGAGCAGUGAAUAGAAAUCCCCUGCCCCUAAACAAUGCUCCAUGCAUGCCCCCAAACCAAAAUAGCUCCACAUGUUUUUUAUUUUUUUCAUUUUAAUUUUUUAAAAUAAAAACUCUGUAAUGAUUUGAAUUAAUUUUUAACUUAUUAUCAACGUUUUUAUUUUUGUUUUAUUUUUAUUUUACAUUAAUUUUACCUAUUCUUUAAUUAACAAAUUUAUAAUGACUUAGAGUUAAUUUGAGAGAUUUUUUUUUUAUAAUUGGUCUUAUAAUAAAAUUUUACAAAGCAGAAACAAGUUCCACUGUGAAAACAUGAUCCUUAAAUUUUUGGAGAUAACCAUGUUAAUUUUUUAAUCCCAACCAAAAUUCUAAAUAAUUCUUUUAUGUCAUAUUAAAUACACGUAACGUCUUAUAAAAAUUGUCAAUAAAUUAUGCAUAGUGACAAGGUUAUUCAAAUCUAAUUUCAUUGUUAAUACCUAUUUCUAUUUUUCUUCUACUGUCUUCAACUUUAAAUAUAAAGGGAUUGAAAUUUUAAGAAUUGAGAUUUCUUUUCUCUGUAUUAGUGGACGUUUGAUUUUUUAUUUUAUUUUUUUAUUGGAAUUGAUACAUAUCUUUUCAGAUUUAUCAAUAUAUUUUAAAAUUUUAUAAGAUAUGUAUAUAAAUAUAUUAAAAAUAUAAAAUGAAUGAAACUAAAUACAUUUCACAUAUAAAAUAUUCAUUAAUCAACUUAAGAAAUAAAAAUUUAUCAUUCAAAUAAUCCAAAAUUAUUACUAAUAAUCUCAUUUAAUAUGAAAUUUUAAGGAUUUAGCUCAUUUACUUAAUAAAAGUAGUUGAAAGGUGAAUGAAUAUUUUUUUUAUAAUCGGGUGAAUGGUUUUUUUCUUAAUUAUAUUUUUAAUGUGAAAGUAUAUUCUAAUUUUUUUUAAAAACUUUACAUUCCGAUGUAGCAUUUUUAAUUAGUCACGUUUCAAUUAAGUUUUUAGCAUAAUAGAAAAUAAUUAAAAGUUUAAUAUUUUUAAUAUUAUUCAUGCGCAGGACGGUGCACUAUGUUCUGGCAGGUGUGACUGGAAUUGAUCGGAAUGAGUUGGUGCAAUUGGUACGGACCGAAAUUUUUACCAGUGUAGAAAAAGGGUGUUGGGUGUUUCACAAUAUUAUUGAAAGCAAACCAAAAAGACCAAGAACCGAUGAACCCGAGAACUAGAGUAAACUGCAGUUAAACUACAAAUCAUCUGUCGAUUAAGUCGUAUUUUCACAUUCUUUAAACCGGAAAAACAAAAAUUACACUUCAAAUCCCUUGAGCCAUUGUUAUACUUUUUCUCUGCACUCAAUGAAAUAAAACACAACAUAAAAAAAAUAAGCACCAUCUCUUUUAUUACUUUUACUACUAAAAUAACUUUUUUUUUCUUGUGAAAAACCUAAGAUGGACUUAUAACAUAUAAUAAAAAGGGAAAAAAAAGACAAAUUAGGAAAGAUGAAAGAUGGGGAGAGGGUUUUAAAAUUCAAAGCCGUCAAAAUAGAUGAGUUUGGGGUUAUUAGUAUUAUUUUAUAUUGUUCAAUAGAAAAUUAAUUGUAUCGGUGGUUGAACCUGUGAGAUCAAAAAUUAAUUAAUUGAUUAAUUUAAUUAUCGAUCUAAUUUUAAAAAUAUUAAUAUUUCGGUAUAAAAUUAAUACAGUGCACACAAAUUAAUAUAACCGAAAUCUGUACGAAACCGAGCACCUUAAUUUAAUACAUAAUUUGACAUUCAUAUAAAAUAUUAUCUUGGAAAUAUAUUGAAAGAGGAAAGUAAUCGUAUGUAAAUGGAUAACUUGGAAGAUAUAAUGAAGCAGGAAUCAUUAUAUUAACAGUGGCAUCUUCUCGAUGUACGACUGCUCACUAUUUUGACUGCAUUUAUCGUUUGAUUCUUUUCUUAAUUAGCCAAACUCAUGUUAACAAUGGUAUAACAGUAAUUAAUUACUUCAUGGACAGAACAUCAAUAUAUAAAUACCCCAUAUAUAAUAAGCAACAACGUAUCAAAAUACACCAAAUAAUGGGAAUUGGAGAACGCCCAUUUAUACAAACAAAUAUAAGUGGGCAAAAUCAAUACUCAUAAUAAAGACACAAAGACGAUUAAAAGCCUUAUUAAACUAGAUCCAGUAUGCAGCAUAACAGAAAAUGGGGUAUUUCAAGGAGUAGAGCGAGAAGGUGGUGGAGAAAAGAAAGGAAUAGAGGGAACUGCAGUUGGGAUUGAGGGAAUGCUUGGCAGAGGCGGCAGUCCUCUUGGCAAUGUGGUAGGAAGUGGAGGAAGCGCCCCAGGGUUUGGGAGAUAAGGGAAAGAUGGCAAUGGUGGAAAAGAGAAAGGAAUAGGGGGAACUGCAGUUGGGAUUGUGGGGACUGAGGGAAUGCUUGGCAGGGGGGGUAGUCCUGUUGGCAAUGUGGUAGGAAGUGGAGGAAGCGCCCCAGGCCAUGGGAAUGAUUGUCGGGAUGGAGUUGGGAGAUUAGGGAAAGAUGGUAAACUUUGCGGUUGAGGCUGCUGCAGAAGGUGACGAGCUGCUACCCCAACAUCAAUGCUUGCAAAUGACAAAGCAAUCAAGAAUGCUAAAGCAAGGCAAUUGAAAGAGGCCAUUUUUGUUGAGAGAUUUCGAAACAAAUGAAGCAGAUGAAACAAAGUUCUUUAUCUAAAUAGUUGUGAGUGAGGAAAACAAAGCAUGGUAUUGAGGUUUAUAUAGGAAUUGGAGCAGUGAAUAGAAAUCCCCUGGCCCUAAACAAUGCCCCAUGCAUGCCCCCAAACCAAAAUAGCGCCACAUGUUUUUUAUUUUUUCCAUUUUAAUUGUAGUUCAUUUUUUAAAUAAAAUUUUUUUAAUGAUUUGGAUGAAUUUUUAACUUAUUAUCAACGUUUUUGUUUUUGUUUUAUUUUCUAUUAAUUUUACCUAUUCUUUAAUUAACAAAUUUAUAAUGAAUUGGAAUUAAUUUAACAGUUUUUUUUAUAAUCGUUCUUAUAAUAAAAUUUAAAAAGGUGGGAAUGAGUCCCACAAUGACAACAUGAUCCUUAAAUUUUGGGUGGUGGCAUGCCUUUAGUCAAAGGGUCAGAUAACAUUUGCUCAGUGUUAAUGUGCUCAAUGACGACUUUCUUUUCUUUAACAUGUUUCCUUAUGACUAGAUACUUAAAGUCGAUAGGUUUACUUCGACUUUCACUUUUUUACUCUUAGCCAUAAAGACAGCAAUUGAAUUGUCACAAUAUAUGAAAUAAUUGAAACCUAUAAUGACUCAGCUCAAAAAACUCGAGCCUCAAACCCAAAUUAAAUUAAAUCAAAAUCAUAAUUUAUUAUAUACAAUUGCAUAAAAUUAACAUAUUUUAAGUGUCAUAGUGCAUGUACAGCCCAAAUUUAGCUCGGGCCCCAAAACCUACCCAAACCCAAGUAACCAAUACAACUAGGGUUGAGCAAAAUUCGAUUCGACUCGAAAAAAUUGAAAAAAAAUUCGAAUUUCGAGUUAAACGAAUCGAGUUAUUCGAGUUAAUCGAGUUAUUCGAAUCAACUCGAUUUUUUUUUCGAAUUUCGAGUUCGAAUCGAGUUGAUUUUUCGAAUUCGAAUAACUCGAAUAAUUCGAAUAAUUCGAAUAUCAAAAUAUAAUAUUUUAGAGUUUUACCCUAAACUCCCAAACUUUUUUACUUUUCCCUCAAAACUUUUACUCCUUCCCACUUUUUCCCCAAAACUUUUACUCCCCUCCCCUCCCAACCCCCCAAUCUACCCAAAAUCUAUUUCCCACCAAAAUUUUACUCUUCCAUUCAUUUUUUUUUCCAAAAUUUUACUCUCAAAAACCCUCAAAACCUUUUAUUUUCUCCCAAAAUUUUUACUCCCUCCCACUUUUCCCCUAAAACUUUUAUUCUCUUCCCAUCCCACCUCCCAUCUACCCCAAACCCUCCCCCUCCAAUUUUUUUUUAAUAUUUUCCCUCCAAAAUUUUACUUCCCUUAUUUACUUUCCCUCAAACUUUUAUUCCCCAAAACUUUUUGUUUUCCCCCUAAACUUUUACUUCUCACCCUUUACUCUCAAAUAAAAAAUCAAAAUUAUCCAAAAAAAAUCACUAAACAUAAAUAGUAAUAAUUUUAUUUAUAUAUAAUAUUUAUAUUAUUAAAUUAAAUUUCACAUUUUAUAUUAUUUAUAUUAUUGAAUUGUUUAGUCAUAUUGAAUAUUUAUAUUAAAAUUGAAUUCUUAAUUAUGCCAUAAAAUAUUCGUGUUAAAAUUUUAUAUUGGUAUCAAUUUCAAAUUUUAUUUUUAAAAUAAAUUUUAUUAAAAAAAUCAUAUUUUUAUAUUUAAUAUAUUUUUUAAUUCCAAAAUACAUAGUGACAAGAAUCCGAAGAUAAUUGAAACAACUAAGCAAACAAAUAAGCUAACCAGUAUAUAAAAAAUUAAUAAAUAAAUUAUGAGGUGAUGAAAGUUAAUAAAAAAUUUGAUUAAGGUGGACAAAUUUUAUUACGAUGGGUGACAAUGGUUAUAAGGACCCAAAAUUAUUUUUUAAAAUUUAACUCGAACAAAUAUAUUCGAUUCGAUUCGAUUCGAAUUCCAUCUCACUCAACUCGAUUCGAGAAAACUUCAAAUAAAGUUAGGAUGAUAAAAUGAGAUUCGAAAACUCGAUUAACUCGAAAAUUUUCGAUUCAAUUCGAUUCGAUUCGAUCGAAUGCUCACCCCUAAAUACAACCCAAAUACAGACUAAAAAACCUAAGCCCAAAAACCAGCCCAAUAAGCCCAAAUCUAACCCUAGCCCAGAAACCCAAAUCAGAGACAAAAAAUAAAUUUUUCAAACCCUAGGUGCGCCGCACCUAGGGUUCUCUGCCCCGUUGGCCACCGCAUGCUAGGACCUGCUGCCACCGCCCUUGUCCCAUUUGCCUCUGACGCCUAGCCACUGCCACCGCCGCCUGCAGCACCAACUCCACUGCUCAACCCCUGCAAAAUGAAAACCAAACACGCAAAGCAGAAGCAAAAACAAUGCAAAAUAGUAGAAAAAAUAGAUAAAAAAAUGUAUUGUAAAUUGGCUAUUAAAGCCUGGAUCUCAGCCUUGUAAUCUUUCUUCUUUUGCUUUCACGAACGUUAGAAAAUAAAAACAAAAAAAAAGUUUCAAGAUGAUUAUCUUUAUUAUUUUAGAUUUCGAUUUUAUUUUAUUUUAUUUUCAUUUUAUCUUCUUAUUUUUAAGCACGAAAAUAAAAAAGAAAAGGAGAAAGAAACAUACCUGAAUCAGCCCUUAGAUCCGUCGUUAUCAGCCCUUCGACGCCGUCGGAUUCAGGUUUAGGGAAGGGCUAAGACCCUUUUUUUUUCUCCUUGUUUCCCCAUUCUAAGAUUUUGGUCUUUGAACGCGUUUCAACGCACUGAUCGAGAACGCCCUCUUGCAACGCCGGCCGUCAGCCACGGCGGCGCAAGCGAUGGUCCUGUUGGCUGAAUUUAGAGGGAUCGAGAGAGAGGCUAAGAGCUCUCUUUUUUUUUCUGAAAAAUGAAGUUGGAAAUGUUGUUUUUUUUUGUUUUUUUUACUAUUUAUAUAGGGUAUAAAACGAUGCCAUUUUGGACCUUUACAUCGGUGGCCAAAACGACGUCGUUUUGCCCUGACCCGAGCGGUGACCCGACCCUGGGGGGAGGAUCCGCGUGUUUUCUUAAAAAGGGAUAUUUUCGUGCGCGAUCCAUCUGCUUUUGCAAAGCGUUGCAAUUUGCCCUUUUUUCCUUCUUUUCUUUUAUUUCAAUUUAGCCGCAUAAUUUUAUUUUUGUUUCAUUUUAGUCCCGCGUAAAGUGAUGCAUUUUGAAGGACAGGAUAUUUCCUUUUUGGUCCCCCUGCUUUCCUGCGCAUCACAAAUUAAUCCUUUGCCUAUUUUAUUUUUGAUUUCUCCCCUGGGAUUUUGUUUUGUUUUCAAUUUAGUCCCGUUAUUAUUAUUAUUUAUUAAACUAAUUAGUUUUAUUAUUAUUAUUAUUAUUAUUGCAUUUAUUAUUAUUACCUACCUUAUUAUUAUUAUUUACCCAUUUAUACCGUUUUUAGAUUUUGUUAUAUAUAUACAUACUUACAUAUUUUUAAUUUUUAUAUAUGUACGUACUUAUAUUUUUUAUAUACUUUAUACUUUAUAUAUACAUAUAUACAUACAUAUUUUAAUAUAUUUUUAAACAUAUAUAUACAUUAUCAUUAUUUACUUGUUUAUAUAUAUAUUUUAAACUUUGUUGUAUUUAUACACAUAUAUUUUUAUAUUUUUAUAAUUUUUUUAUUUUCAUUAUUACUAUUAUUGUUUUAUUCAAAAUUUAUUUAUUUAUUUACAUGUCUAUUAUUAUUAUCAUUAUUUUUUUAAUGUUUUAGUUUUUAUUUGUUUAUUACUUGUUAUUGUGUAUACAUGAUUGAUUUUUUUUAUAUUUGUAUUCUUAUUUAUUUAUCUUUCUGUUUUUGCCCAUAUUAUUUUUACUUACAUUAUCAUAAUCGUUAUUCCAUUACAUCAAUUUUUACCCAGAUUCGUAAAAAAGAAAAUUUUGAAAAUAAAGGCAAUACUCAGUAUUUGGGAUUUUCGAGAGGAUUGAGCCCUAACGCAUUGGGUUCCAAUUUUCUUCGUUGAAUCUAAAUAAUCGAGAACGCUCUUUAAUCAAAAAACAUAAAUAAAAAGUUCAUUAUCGAGAAUUCAAUACGUUGUGUCCUAACGCAUUGCAUAUGACACGUUCUUUUCUCGAAAUAAUGAUUUUUCUAAAAAAUAAUAAAGGCAAUAUUCAAUGUUUAGAAUUUGAGAAAUUGUGCCCUAACAUAUUGGGUUGCGAUUUUUUCAUCUGACUUAAACAAUUGAAUAUCCUUUUAAAUUUUAUUGCACGAGUUUUUUGGGCAAAUUCAUUCUUGAGGAGGUGAAAUAUCAUGCCCUAACUCAUUGGGUGUGACAUUUUCUCUCUCCGAAAUGAGAGGGUCUUAACGGGUAAUUUGAUUUAUACAAGUUUUUUUAAUAAAUGAUUGUAUUUUAAAUCUCUUUAGAGUUUCUAAUUCUCGACACCAAGACACUAAAUAAUCAACUACGUACCAAUCUUGGGCGUUACGAGGGUGCUAAUCCUUCCUCACAUGUAAUCGACUCUCGAACCCAUUUUUCUGAAUUUAGUGGACCAAGAUCGUUGUUUUAAUAAAAUCAAAUCGUUUAUUAAAAACAACCACUUUUUAAGGUGGCCCAAUCACACCUCAUCAAAAAAGAUUUGUGGCAACUCCCAUUUUCGUUUCAUUUUCAAAACCCAAGUCGACCCCAUUUUCACAAAAAAUUGGUGUCAACAAUGCACAUUAAAUUAAAGUUUAUGUUUGACAUUAUAGAUUGAAGCAAUAUUCAUGUGUAAAAUUUUGAGAUUUAUUUCCUUAAUUAAAGUAAUAUUUCAAAUAGAAUACUUAAACAAUCCUCCAUGUUGGCAAACUUUAUGUACAUUAGAAACAAACUAAAUAAUUAGAAUAAAUCUAAAGUAUGGCUUACAUUUAAUUUAUUCACAAUGUGACUUAAACUUUGGCCUUCAAGAUUUCACGGUCUCAAAUUAUGUCUUAAAAAUUUUAAGAUCAUUUUAGCUUUGUUAAAAAAAAUCAAAAGUUUAGAAAGUUAGAAUUGUUGCUUGAGGCGUGAAUAUCCCUAGUCUUUAGGAUAUUCAUGGAUUUACUAUCUCUCAAGAUUUAAUUUGUAUCAUGCACAAUGAAAAAAUUUAAAAAAAAAUUUCCCAUUUGAAUGGAAUUGAGCUAUUAGGCUCAAGCCUCGUGUGCGCAUAUAUAUUCUCUUAUUUUGAGUCUUACAAGUUUAUAAUAAACCAAAUCUAUAUAAACGUCAUUUAACAAGUGUAUCUAAAAUAUGUUUAAUAUGUGUCAUUCUUUAAAAUACAUGAAAACUUCAAAUAUGGUUUAGGUCAUUUUCAGAUUUGUCUUAUUUUAGGUUCAAAUCAUUCGAAUUUGAGGCUAAGUUUUUCAUGUCUAAUCAUUAUUAAUCCGAAUCAUUUUAGAUUUUGAUCAGUUUAAGUUUCAAUUAUUUUGUGAUCAAAUUAUUUUAAGUUUAGAUAAAUUUGGGUCAAUUCGAAUUUGACUUAAUUACGUAAUUACCUUUUUUUUUAUAAUAAAUUGAGCUGACUGAAAUUUAGAUUGGAAUUUAUUUAGUGUGCCUUUGUGUUUAAGUUGAAAUUUAAACAUCUGUAUUAGAAAUACACAUGUUAAUACAAUUUUAUGUUAAAGACAAUAAUACGACAGAGUUGAUUUGGGAGAUAAACAUGUUAAUUUUUUAAUCCCAACUAAAAUUGUACAUAAUUCUUUUAUGUCAUAUUAAAUACAUGUAUAAAAAUUGUCAAUAAAUUAUGCCUAGCGACAACGUUAUUCAAAUCUAAUUUCAUUGUUAAUACCUAUUUCUAUUUUUCUUCUAUUGUCUUCAACUUUAAAUAUGAAGGAAUUGAAAUUUUAAGAAUUGAGAUUUCUUUUCUUUGUAUUAGUGGACGUUUGAUUUUUCGUUUGAUUUUUUUACUAGAAUUGAUGCAUAUCUUUUCAGAUUUAUCAAUAUUUUUUAAAAUUAUUUAAGAUAUGUAUAUAAAUAUAUUACAAAUAUAAAAUGAAUGAAACUAAAUGCAUUUCAAAUUUAAAAUAUUCAUUAAUAAACUUAAUAAAUAAAAAUUUAUCAUUCAAAUAAAUCCAAAAUUAUUAAUAAUAAUCCAUCAUUUAAUAUGAAUGGAUAUUUUUUUAUUUGAUGAUCGGGUGAAUGGUUUUUUCUUAAUUAUAUCUUGAAUGUGAAAGUAUAUUCCAUUUUUUUUUAAAUUUACAUUCCGAUGAAGCAUUUUUAAUUAGUCAAAUUUCAAUUAAGUUUUUAGCAUAAUAGUAAAUUAUUAAAAGUUUAAUAUUUUAAAUAUUAUUCAUGCACAGGACGGUGCACUAUGUUCUGGCAGGUGUGACUGGAAUUGAUCGGAAUGAGUUGGUGCAAUUGGUACAGACCGAAAUUUUUACCAGUGUAGAAAAAUGGUGUUGGGUGUUUCGCAAUGUUAUCGAAACCAAACCAAACAGACCAAGAACCGAUGAACCCGAGAACUAGAGUAAACUGCAGUUAAAUUGCAAAUCAUCAGCUGAUUAAGCCGUAUUUUCACAUUUUCUAGAUUGGAAAAACAAAAAUUUCACUUCAAAUCCCUUGAGCUUUUGUUACACUUCUUCUCUUAACUCAAUGAAAUAAAACAAACCAUAAAAAGAAUAAGCACCGUUUCUUUUAUUACUUUUUCUAUUAAAAUAUUAUUUUUUUUCUCGUGAAAAACCUGGACUUAUAACAUUCAAUCAAAGGAAAAAAAAGACAAAUUAGGAAAGAUGAAAGAUGGGGAGAGGGUUUUAAAAUUUAAAGCCUUCAAAAUAGAUGAGUUUAGCGUUAUUAAUAUUAUUUUAUAUUAUUCAAUAGAAAAUUAAUUGUAUCGGUGGUUGAACCUGUGAGAUCAAGAAUUAAUUAUUUGAUUAAUUUGAUUAUCGAUUUAAUUUUAAAAAUAUUAAUAAUUCGAUACAAAAUUAAUAUAGUGCAGACAAAUUAAUAUAACAGAAAAUUGUACGAAACGAGCACCUUAAUUUAAUACAUAAUUUGACAUUCAUAUAAAAUAUUAUCUUGGAAAUAUAUUGAAAGAAGAAAGUAAUCGUAUGUAAAUGGGUAACUUGGAAGAGAUGAUGAAGCAGGAAUCAUUAUAUUAAAAGUGGCAUCUUCUCGAUGUACGGCUGCUCACUAUCUUGACUGCAUUUAUCGUUUGAUUCUUUUCUUAAUUAGCCAAACUCAUGUUAACAAUGGUAUAACAGUAAUUAAUUACUUCAUGGACAGAACAUCAAUAUAUAAAUACCCCAUAUAUAAUAAGCAACAACGUAUCAAAAUACACCAAAUAAUGGGAAUUGGAGAACGCCCAUUUAUACAAACAAAUAUAAGUGGGCAAAAUCAAUACUCAUAAUAAAGACACAAAGACGACUAAAAACCUUAUUAAACUAGAUCCAGUAUGCAGCAUAACAGAAAAGGGGGUGUUUCAAGGAGUAGAACGAGAAGGUGGUGAAGAAAAGAAAGGAAUAGAGGGAACUGCGGUUGGGAUUGAGGGAAUGCUUGGCAGAGGCGGCAGUCCGCUUGGCAAUGUGGUAGGAAGUGGAGGAAGCGCCCCAGGGUUUGGGAGAUUAGGGAAAGAUGGCAAUGGUGGAAAAGAGAAAGGAAUAGGGGGAAUUGCAGUUGGGAUUGUGGGGACUGAGGGAAUGCUUGGCAGAGGGGGUAGUCCUGUUGGCAAUGUGGUAGGAAGUGGAGGAAGCGCCCCUGGCCAUGGGAAUGAUUGUCGGGAUGGCGUUGGGAGAUUAGGGAAAUAUGGUAAACUUUGCGGUUGAGGCUGCUGCAGAAGGUGACGAGCUGCUCCCCCAACAUCAAUGCUUGCAAAUGACAAAGCAAUCAAGAAUGCUAAAGCAAGGCAAUUGAAAGAGGCCAUUUUUGUUCAGAGAUUUCGAAACAAAUGAAGCAGAUGAAACAAAGUUCUUUAUCUGAAUAGUUGUG
Molecule: long non-coding RNA, 14788 nt
Filed under: Gossypium barbadense (sea-island cotton)
Lineage: Eukaryota; Viridiplantae; Streptophyta; Magnoliopsida; Malvales; Malvaceae
Description: long non-coding RNA (GBAR_LNC022198)
Source: RNAcentral